UAAUACGUAGGUGGCAAGCGUUGUCCGGAAUUAUUGGGCGUAAAGCGCGCGCAGGCGGCUUCUUAAGUCUGAUGUGAAAUCUUGCGGCUCAACCGCAAGCGGUCAUUGGAAACUGGGAGGCUUGAGUGCAGAAGAGGAGAGUGGAAUUCCACGUGUAGCGGUGAAAUGCGUAGAGAUGUGGAGGAACACCAGUGGCGAAGGCGGCUCUCUGGUCUGUAACUGACGCUGAGGCGCGAAAGCGUGGGGAGCAAACAGGAUUAGAUACCCUGGUAGUCCACGCCGUAAACGAUGAGUGCUAAGUGUUAGAGGGUUUCCGCCCUUUAGUGCUGCAGCUAACGCAUUAAGCACUCCGCCUGGGGAGUACGGCCGCAAGGCUGAA
RNAcentral lists this ribosomal RNA (379 nucleotides) under uncultured bacterium. RNAcentral's name for it is "bacterial SSU rRNA". It matches the Rfam family "Bacterial small subunit ribosomal RNA", at positions 521 to 898 of the family's 1533-position model. The record is from RNAcentral.